UACGAAGGGGGCUAGCGUUGCUCGGAAUCACUGGGCGUAAAGCGCACGUAGGCGGCUUGUUAAGUCAGGGGUGAAAUCCUGGAGCUCAACUCCAGAACUGCCUUUGAUACUGGCGAGCUUGAGUUCGGGAGAGGUGAGUGGAACUGCGAGUGUAGAGGUGAAAUUCGUAGAUAUUCGCAAGAACACCAGUGGCGAAGGCGACUUACUGGACACAUAUUGACGCUGAGGUGCGAAAGCGUGGGGAGCAAACAGGG
RNAcentral lists this ribosomal RNA (254 nucleotides) under uncultured bacterium. RNAcentral's name for it is "partial 16S ribosomal RNA". It matches the Rfam family "Bacterial small subunit ribosomal RNA", at positions 524 to 777 of the family's 1533-position model. The record is from RNAcentral.